AACGCACCUUGCACUCCUUGGUAUUCCGAGGAGUAUGCCUGUUUGAGUGUCUUGUAAUCAUCAAUCUUACAUUGCUUUUGUGAUGUCUGAUUGGAUUUGGAGACUGCUGGCUUAAUCGCUGGCUUCUCUUGAAUGCAUUAGUUGAAUCGACUUGCAACGCUACGUGUGGUGUGAUAAUAUCUUCACUGCAUAGUUGUAAUGAAGUUUGGCUUCUAACAGUCCUUCGUUGGACAAUACUCGACCAUUUGACCUCAAAUCAGGUAGGACUACCCGCUGAACUUAA
This 283-nucleotide unclassified non-coding RNA is filed under the name Lecanicillium sp. Its description in RNAcentral is "partial contains 5.8S ribosomal RNA, internal transcribed spacer 2, and large subunit ribosomal RNA". The stretch from base 1 to 52 matches the Rfam family "5.8S ribosomal RNA", at positions 103 to 154 of the family's 154-position model. Lineage: Eukaryota; Fungi; Ascomycota; Sordariomycetes; Hypocreales; Cordycipitaceae. The record is from RNAcentral.